GACGAACGCUGGCGGCGUGCUUAACACAUGCAAGUCGAACGGAAAGGCCCUUCUUUUGUGGGGUGCUCGAGUGGCGAACGGGUGAGUAACACGUGAGUAACCUGCCCUUGACUUUGGGAUAACUUCAGGAAACUGUGGCUAAUACCGGAUAGGAGCUCCUGCGGCAUGGUGGGGGUUGGAAAGUUUCGGCGGUUGGGGAUGGACUCGCGGCUUAUCAGCUUGUUGGUGGGGUAGUGGCUUACCAAGGCUUUGACGGGUAGCCGGCCUGAGAGGGUGACCGGCCACAUUGGGACUGAGAUACGGCCCAGACUCCUACGGGAGGCAGCAGUGGGGAAUAUUGCACAAUGGGCGGAAGCCUGAUGCAGCAACGCCGCGUGCGGGAUGACGGCCUUCGGGUUGUAAACCGCUUUCGCCUGUGACGAAGCGUGAGUGACGGUAAUGGGUAAAGAAGCACCGGCUAACUACGUG
Molecule: ribosomal RNA, 468 nt
Filed under: uncultured bacterium
Lineage: Bacteria
Description: partial 16S ribosomal RNA
Rfam family: Bacterial small subunit ribosomal RNA
Source: RNAcentral